UACGUAGGGUGCAAGCGUUGUCCGGAAUUAUUGGGCGUAAAGAGCUCGUAGGCGGUCUGUCGCUUCUGCUGUGAAAACUCAGGGCUUAACCCUGAGCUUGCAGUGGGUACGGGCAGACUAGAGUGCGGUAGGGGAGACUGGAACUCCUGGUGUAGCGGUGAAAUGCGCAGAUAUCAGGAGGAACACCGGUGGCGAAGGCGGGUCUCUGGGCCGUAACUGACGCUGAGGAGCGAAAGCAUGGGGAGCGAACAGG
This 253-nucleotide ribosomal RNA is filed under the name uncultured bacterium. RNAcentral describes it as "partial 16S ribosomal RNA". It matches the Rfam family "Bacterial small subunit ribosomal RNA", at positions 524 to 776 of the family's 1533-position model. The record is from RNAcentral.